This 231-nucleotide ribosomal RNA is filed under the name Triticum aestivum (bread wheat). Its description in RNAcentral is "partial small subunit ribosomal RNA". The record is from RNAcentral. Lineage: Eukaryota; Viridiplantae; Streptophyta; Magnoliopsida; Poales; Poaceae.
GCUUCCAUACCUGUUUACUAUAUGUCCAAUAUCCUCUUUCCAAAAAAAUUCCUUGCGAAGCUCACGGCAAUCAUUCGUAAUUUUUGGUGGGUUGGUGUUAGAGAGGAAGCUAGUGCAAGAGCUUUAUGUCUCAGGGCUUGGAAAGAUAUUUGUACUCCUAAAAAAGAAGGUGGAUUGGGAAUCAAAAACAUGUUGGCUAUGAAUCAAGGUCUCCUUCUUGUGGCUGCCUAG